CCUAAACCAAUAGGAUGAAGUAGAUAUUUCCUCUUCUUCACAAAGGAGCAAAGGCUCAGAGAGGGGAAGUGACUAUUCUCCUUGAGUCGCCUUGAGAGAGACUCCAGAAGAACCUCCCAGCCUCAUGAGAAGUGGCCCCAAAAUGCCCAUGUCCUUCUGCCCCAAUUCUCCUGCUGCCUCAGCAGAGGAAGAGACUUCAUUGUACCUUCGACUACUGGGCCAGGACUUCCAAGAGGGCUGGAUUUCCUUCUCCCCACCAUGGCGUUCUACUCUGCAGAUGCUGCCCUGCGCUAGGCACCUGCUUUCCUGACCCAUGAAGAG
RNAcentral lists this long non-coding RNA (321 nucleotides) under Mustela putorius furo (domestic ferret). RNAcentral's name for it is "lncRNA (ENSMPUG00000029747.1)". Lineage: Eukaryota; Metazoa; Chordata; Mammalia; Carnivora; Mustelidae. The record is from RNAcentral.